CUUUCCUCAUAUUAAUCUAUAUUCUAUUUGUGGUGAUAUUCCUUAUGUUUGGAGGCCUUUGAGCUUUGACUACAUUUAUGUGAAAAUUCUGAAGAAAAAAAAAAGAAAUGGUCUAGAGAGUUUAAGUUUAAGCUAGUCUCUAGACCUUGCUGCCACAUGGGGUUUUUGUUUGUGGUUGGCUAUAAUGGCUCCACCUCUGUCAUUCUCUGUCAUGUAAGCUUCUCUUGUUUUCCUCACUUCCUUUUUAUGUCUAUUCUUGACUGUUUCUCUUAAACUUUUCAUGAAACUUUAGGAAAUGCAAGGUUAGUUUAUUGAGUAUGUAUAGUUUCUGAGCUUAUUUUUAGAAGCUUGUUUGUCUUCUAGAGCUAGAUAGUAGUUUAGGAAAUACACUUGGGCAUGGGCAGACCGUUCGUGUGACAGCCGUGAGCAGUGCCUCUUUCUCGGAGUGACAACCCAGGCGAACGCCUUCAGCAACAGUAAUUCAGCUUUCAAAAUAUAGCAUUAUGACUUGUUCUCUUACUCUUUCUGUUGCUGGCUAUGACCGUUUCUAUUAUAUGAUUAUCAGGGUUACACAGGUGACAAGGAGAGCCUGGGAAAGUGUGAACAGUAUUUUAUGGAGUUGAUGAAAGUUCCUAGAGUGGAAUCAAAAUUGCAAGUGUUCUCUUUCAAGAUUCAGUUCAACUGCCAGAUUUCAGAAUUUAAAAAGAGUUUGAACACUGUGAACUCUGCAUGUGAAGAGUUUUGAGAAUCUGUUUUGACUUGGGUAGUUUUAUGCUCUGUUUAAUAAGUCCGAAAUUCCCUCAAAUUAAAAGAUAUUAUGAAGAAAAUUCUUUUUCUGGGUAAUACUUUGAACCAAGGGACUACAAGAGACUUAGUUCCUUUUAUGGCCAUAAAUCCGGAAGUUUAUCGAAGUAUUAGAUAAUGAGAAAAUCCAAUGAGGGCUGUUGCAGCAAUCAGAGCAUUAAACGGAACUUACACAAUGAGGGGUUGUGAUAAGCCAAUAGCUGUACGUUUUGCGGAACCUAAGGAAGUUAGGAAUGGAGAAGCAAGGAACAAUAAGAUGUUUAGUGGCAUGCCCUUUGGCCCCCAUUCUCAAGAACCAGUUGUUAGGACAACAACCAACCUGGGUGAUUCCAUGGUGGGGCAUAACCGGCCUAAUGCACCUCAUCUGGCACAACAUUUCUCGUUAACUAAACAACCACAAGCAGAUUCUUCGAUGGAAAACCAGGAACCUCCGCAGUUAUCUCAGAUGCAGAAUAGAAAAGCAAGUUCUCAACAAUUUCAAGGUGAAGUUCGUGAUUUUCCAAGACAGUUGCAUGUGAUGCAACCAUUGAAACAAAUGCUAGAGCAGCACAAGUGGUCUCAGACUAGUGGACAACCGGUAUUCCGAACCAAUAAUAAUCUUAGCUAGUUAAUUUGCAUUUUUUUUAGUAUUGCAUGUUAUAUGUUGAAGUUUUUAUUUUUUAAUAACUUCUAUCUAUAUGUCCCACUUUUGGUGUUCAAUUGAGUGCGGCCAGAAGAGUGCUUGCAGCAUCUGAAGGGGUUUAUUCAAUAGAAUAUUAUAUUGUAUUCCUUCUGCUUCAUUUUUUUUUUAAAUUAAGAACUUUAUCUAUGUUAUUUUAAUGAAAUGUUUAAUGCAACCUCUACCAACUGGAAGUAGUUCUCGGGAAGUUGCUUACAAUAUUCCCAGAGCUGCAGUGCCUGCAAAUCCUCAGAUGCCUGAACUUCCAGAAUGUGAUUGGAGUGAGCAUACCUGCCCUGAUGGGCAUAAGUAUUAUUAUAAUUGUGUCACUCGUGAAAGCUUGUGGGACAAGCCCAAGGAAUAUGGUUUGUUUGAGGAACAGUUAAAGAAUGAGAGACAGCAGCAAACUGUUGCCCACAAGCUUCAGUCUUCUUCCUUGGUUCUCUCUAAACAACAACCUGCUCAAACACAAGAAAUUCAUUGCCAAUCUCAUGUUGACCAUCAAAAUCUCCAACUAGAAAAACCUGCUCUAUCUGCGCUGGUAUAUUGAGAUGAUUUCUUUGGAGCAAUUCUUGACAACAUUUGUAGUUGAGGCCUUUAGAAUGGAAGAAUUUAUUUCACUAAUUUUUGUAUACAUUUCUUGUUUUGUAUUUAGUGAUAAAGGAAUAUGAAUUGGGCAUAAAUUAUGUUGUAAUAUGAUUUCUUUAAGCCUAGACUAGUAGACUAAAUAUAGUAAU
Molecule: RNA transcript, 2199 nt
Organism: Humulus lupulus (European hop)
Lineage: Eukaryota; Viridiplantae; Streptophyta; Magnoliopsida; Rosales; Cannabaceae
Exons: 11
Source: RefSeq, a predicted model, not a curated record